Cannabis sativa is the source of this 720-nucleotide long non-coding RNA. RefSeq lists it as uncharacterized. NCBI's taxonomy places the organism in Eukaryota, Viridiplantae, Streptophyta, Magnoliopsida, Rosales, Cannabaceae. The transcript is spliced from 3 exons. The record is from RefSeq and is a predicted model, not a curated record.
GGAGACCUCUACAACCCAACUUCCGAAAAGGCCAACUCGUACUCAAGCUCAAAGUCAAGUCCGAACUCCACAACAACAAGGUACGUACUCUGUUUAUUUGAUGACAAGGUCAGGCCUGGUUUGAAAGCUCAAUCUUAAAGUUCUCGAUUUGGAUGGCAAACAAGGCCAUCGGGAGUGGCUGGUAAUUAAUAAUAAAAUCAUGCACCAAAAUAUUCAAUUCAAUUGUUUAUUUUAUGUGAUUCAAAAUUGCUUAUAUAUAUAGAUGUUUCGUUUUUAUUUUCUUGGGCAAUUAAAGCACCCUCAUCUUGUAAACUUGAUCGGUUAUUGUUGCGAAGAUGAACAUAGGCUUAUUGUCUAUGAAUUCAUGCCUCGGGGAAGCUUAGACAACCAUAUUUUCAAAGGUCAUGUGACAGCUAUGAGCGAUGUAUUUAGUUAUGGAGUGGUUCUGUUGGGUCCAAUAUUAUACCUGACUUUCAUAUAUAUUGAUAUAAAUAUUAGGGAUUUUUUCAUUAAUAUACAAUAUAGGUAAAUUAAUUACAAUUAUAACGUUAAUGUGGCAUAGCAACACAAAUACCGUCCUCCCCAUUAUGAAUGCCGUCAAUUCACCCAGGCGAGCGUGCACCGCAUCCAACAAAUAAUUUCAUUUUAUUUUUCUUUUUUGUAAAUAUAAAGUUUUCACUAAAAUCUAAAAACAUUUUCUGUUUUGCUUUUUUUUUUUUU